Molecule: ribosomal RNA, 465 nt
Filed under: uncultured bacterium
Lineage: Bacteria
Description: bacterial SSU rRNA
Rfam family: Bacterial small subunit ribosomal RNA
Source: RNAcentral
CCUACGGGUUGCAGCAGUGGGGAAUAUUGCACAAUGGGCGCAAGCCUGAUGCAGCCAUGCCGCGUGUAUGAAGAAGGCCUUAGGGUUGUAAAGUACUUUCAGUUGGGAGGAAGGCGCCAAGGUUAAUAACCUUGGCGAUUGACGUUACCCGCAGAAGAAGCACCGGCUAACUCCGUGCCAGCAGCCGCGGUAAUACGGAGGGUGCAAGCGUUAAUCGGAAUUACUGGGCGUAAAGCGCACGCAGGCGGUCUGUCAAGUCGGAUGUGAAAUCCCCGGGCUCAACCUGGGAACUGCAUUCGAAACUGGCAGGCUAGAGUCUUGUAGAGGGGGGUAGAAUUCCAGGUGUAGCGGUGAAAUGCGUAGAGAUCUGGAGGAAUACCGGUGGCGAAGGCGGCCCCCUGGACAAAGACUGACGCUCAGGUGCGAAAGCGUGGGGAGCAAACAGGAUUAGAUACCCUUGUAGUC